GAAAAAGGGUCAGAAUCCUGGGCCUGGGAGCUGGACCGUACUCUUAAUGGCCGGCUCAGCCACACUCCUGCAGAGUGUAGGACAGGAGGGCCAGGUCCCUCGAUCCAGGAGACGCCAAACCUCCCUCCCAGAAGCGGGACCGCAGGCCUCCCCUGACGCGUUCCCCAGCCCAGCGCACACGCGGAGGCUCUCAGCACCGGAGCUUCUCAGGCGGCAAUUUUUUAAGCCUGCAAUUAAGCGAGGCGUCGCCGUGUCCUCUGCUAGUGUCGAUCCUGUCAGUCGCACAUGGCCUUGGUGCUCCGGUCCGAGGCCCCGCGAUUAGUCACAGGCUCGCUUCGCUCCUUCCCUAAUCCGCCUCUGCAGGCAGCCUGGGGACGCGGCCGACUUGGCGGGGCUGGCAGGGAGCCACAGCGCGCGGGGCGGGCCGCCUGGCCAGUACCAGCCCCGCUGCAACUAACCCAACACGGGCCCCGGGGUGCGGGCUUGGGACUCCCUCCCCCUUCACAGUCCCCAGGCUGGGGUGGCGGCGCCCCUCCUCCUCUCGCCCCGCUCCGGGGCCUGUGAGAUCUAUUUGUGUGGUGUCAUUUGCAUAAAAAUAGGACAAGUGUUUCAGUGCGUUCGAACGCGGGAGGCGAAAUCCUUAUUGAUGUGUCUGUGUGGAGCCCUCGGUUGUCGGAGCGGUUUGAUUUAGGGUGUUUGUGUUGCCUUCUGCGAGAAAUGAGAGGAAAUCCUGCGCAACGCCUUCGGCGGUCCGGGCCGCCAAGAGCAACCCCCUCUGCGCAGAGCGGAACGGUCCACUGCCUGGACCCUGACGCGCCGGGUCCACAGUGAGCAGGUUGAGGGCCAGGCGGACGGCCCAUUAUGACUCAUAAAACAGGGCGGCCUAAUCACCAGCUGCCAACCCGUUUACGUGUGGCGCUUCCCAAUGCUCUUCGCCCGGCCAGGGCCUCCAGUGGGUUCGUCCCAGACACGGCUAGAGCCGCUCAGCGGGGGCUAAUCGAGUGACCGCUCCUUCUCGUGGGCAGUCUGGCUUCCCUUCCUGGGCAACCCGCGCGCUCUCGGCCUUUUUGCCUCGCCAGGAACUCCUCAGCUUGGACAAAUAGCUGGGAGGGCGCCGGCCGUGCGGAGCCAGUAAAUCAAUCAUUAACUCCCCAGCGAGACCUGGCCAGGGGAGGGAGCGGCAGCCAGAGGCGAGGCCGUGGGGUGGGCUGCGGGCACCAUCCCUAGGUUGGGAGCAGUACAUGCGCCAGCGGACAGAGUGCGUGAAGGCUGGUCCCCCAGGGCCUCCCGAUCUCCUCCAGAAGAUUCCGCCUGACAGGCCUUUCAAGCCUGCACCUCGCCUCGCCUGGCAGGUCGAGUUACUGCGCGGCCCCGGGGCAGGCUUGAACAUUAACGAGCCGCCCCGGGCCUCGCGGCCUGCUCUCCCUGGGAGAGCCUGCCGUGCUUGGGCAAGCUCCUUGGGUCCAGUCGGGCUCCAUCAGACUCCGACUUGCCAAACCAAAUUGAUCGCCCCGGUGUCGACCAGUUUCCUUGCGCCUCCCUCCCCACGGAGCCCACCAUAGGGCGGCACACAAGGAGUUAAAAGCUCCAGUUCGCCCUGGCUCCUCCGCGGCGCAGAGGAAGUGCUGAUCAAAGUGCUUAUGGGGAAGGAAACACACGCACACUCGGGCCUGGGUCGAAGAAGGCCGACUGGAGAGACGGCUCGGAACUGCCCGCCUCGACCCGCUUCCCACACUCCCAAGAACGCAGUGGUGGCGGCGGCAGCGCUGGCCCGUGCGAUUCUCUUCGCGGAGCUCGGCGCUGCGGGGCUGGGAGGACAGCGGGGAGGGAGAGGGAUGAGAGGCGGGAGGCGAGCCCGGGCUGAGCGCCAAGAGGCCCGGAGCCGCAGAUUAGUCACCGUUCGGCUUGGCGCUCACGGGUGUGCCCGGGAACCGGGAGGGCAGGCAUCGGCCCCGCUUAAUCGGGCUCCCGGGACCUGGGCGCCGCGGCGCAGAUGCCCCCGCUUCCACCCCCAUGAGCGCCCGGCACACCCGGCUGGACUCUCCCAGGCCCGCGCUGCCGAGAUUCAGUUGUCAGUUCAAGGGCAGGACAGAAACUCUGCAAGCAGAGUCUCGCGAACAGGAAAUUUCUCAUUGACAAGGUGCUGCCCCUCCCCCACGCCCGGCUUCAAAACAAAACAAAAAACCCAGCGCCAGCAACCAACGCAGUCAGCCUGGGCCCGCCGCUGCCUCGGCGACCCCCGCGUCUGUGCCCUGGCCCGGGGAGUGGAAAGCUCGCCAAACCCCGGCCCCUGAGCGCCGGCGCAAAUAAACAGGCCCGGCGGGUAGGCUUGUCUGAGGCCCUGCUGAGGGCGCCCAGCUGCCACCCCCCGGGACCCGAGCAGGGUCGGACGAGUACGCUGAGCGCAAGAGGCUCCUUGCCCUCUUGGGUGAAGAACCCCGCAGAGCGGCUUUGCAGAGCUGCUGAAGGCCGCCAGGGCACUCAUGUCAUUUAAUUUCUUUGGGAAAAUCUACAAAUUUCAGACAAAAUAUCCUUCUCCUCUCCCCCGGCUAAUGUCCUAUCAGGAACCCAGGGAACCACUGGAAAUGUAAACGGACUCCACCAGCAGACACUCCAGUGGGAAGUUUGUAGAUCUCCACCUCAGCAACAGAAUCAACCACUUUCUAACAAUAUUGCCACUGGAUUGUGAAACAUCCUAGCUUCCUUGCUGGAGUGGAACCUUUCUGAAACCCUGUGUUCAUCUAUCCAUUCUGAUGUUCCCACAGCACCCAGCACAGAGCCUCAACCCAUUUUGUCUUUCUCCUACACCUGCUAACAUACCAUGUAGAGGCUCUUCUUGGCAGAAUUAUUGAAUCACCCUGUGUAUUCAUUCCUUUGGAGCAUUCCCCAUCUUUAGAAUGUCCUUCCUUGACCCCCCACAUCCCCUUCCCUGGCUCCCUAUUUGUCUGCUCCCUUGCACAGCUGUACUUCUUGAAAGAGGUAUAUACAUCUAUGCGGCAUCUCUAUUUCUUACCUCCAUUUCUUACUUCCUGUGCACUCUAAAACUCAGCUAGUUUUUAAGUUAUUCUAAGAUGUUGGGAUAAUUGUUGUUUGUUACAGCAUAAGAUUAGGAACAACCUAAAUGUCCAGCAAUGGCAUUGAUGAUACAUGCACAGGAUGGAAUAUUCUGUAGCUAUUUAAAAAAUAAAGAUCUGCUCUGUGAACUGA
Pteropus alecto (black flying fox) is the source of this 3207-nucleotide long non-coding RNA. RefSeq lists it as uncharacterized. The transcript has 2 exons. Lineage: Eukaryota; Metazoa; Chordata; Mammalia; Chiroptera; Pteropodidae. The record is from RefSeq and is a predicted model, not a curated record.